Molecule: long non-coding RNA, 5643 nt
Organism: Peromyscus eremicus (cactus mouse)
Lineage: Eukaryota; Metazoa; Chordata; Mammalia; Rodentia; Cricetidae
Exons: 4
Source: RefSeq, a predicted model, not a curated record
GUUUUCAGCUGUCCUUGAGCAGGGGCAUCUUCUGCACACCUUUCACAGGCCCAGAGUGCUUCUCACACACCCUCCACAGAAUCUCAAAGGCCCUGCCUCCCUUUUCCAGGACGCACCCCCGGACCUUGCAGGGGUGUUUCUUCAACAGUGAUGGGAGAGCCCCACCCAAGGCAAAGGCACAGUUGGACCUGGGCUCUCUGCAGUAAAGCACCUCAAAUAAUGAUGCCUGGGAGCAGAGACGGCCAUGCCCGCUGUCUGUUGUUCCUCGCUCAUGGCAGCAGGAGUCAAAGGCGCUUUCUUCAAGGACUGCACAUUAAGUUUGUCUUUGUGCUUCUAGCUGCUUCCAUUUCAAAGGCUCUGCCAGGGAAUCUAGGGAGUCAUUCCUGGACCCGGCAGGCGUCUCCAUGGUGACAGCUGAGCAGGCCUGAGGGGGAGAGGCACUCACAGCACUUUCCCACAAGUCCCCUUUUCUGAUUUUUUUCCCUCCUAUUUUUUCCAAUAGUUACUAAGGCUGAAAAUUUAGCUUAAAAAAUAGGGUAAAAUGGGAACUCCCUAAACUAUUUUAUAAAAAACCCAUUGUAUAUAAAUACAUUGUCAUUACCCACCUCAGUGGAGUAUAAUAUAGCCUGAGAAGUACAAUCUUUUUUUCUCUCUGUCCCUUACCACUGUCUGAAGAAGGGAUGGAGUCUACUUUUCCUGUUUCCAUCUGUGUACAGGCUCUAGUGAACUGCCACAGCCUGCUUGCAGAUGUCUGCAUCCUUUACCCCCACCACAGUGGAUGGAAAACCUGUCCAAUCAACCACUGCAUCGGUGGCAGAGGUUGACAGUCACUGGAUUGGCGGCAGAGGUUGACCAGGAGUUGUAAACAUCCUGCUGUUGCUUGCCAGACCCACCAGAACUGGUGUGUUCUUACAAUGCUCCCGUUGUUCACGUGCAUAGAACAGUCCACCUGCUGUGUGCUGGGAGAGUUGUCGUUGGUUGAUGUCACUGUGCAAACACUGGACAGGGUACUUACACAACAUGGGAGUCUGUAGGCCAGUCUUUUCACACGGUCUACUUCACACAAUCAAGAGGCUCCUGUAGAUAGUAACAGCCUAAAGGUGCCUCUGUUGAAACAUGGCCCCUAGUUACAGUAAACUUUAAAGAAAAAAAGUAUUAUUUAUGAGUAGAAGGAGUAUACUCUAAAAUAACCAUUACAUUUAAUAGAACGGUGACAUGAAGGGUAAUGUGAUUCUUUUGAGGAACCAGGGUUCCCCAGAGAGCCACACAUAUGUAGAAGAUUCUGCAGGCUGAUUGACCAAGUAAAACUUAUGUGAUUGUGGAAAAUGGGAAUGUUGCAGAUGGAAAGCCAAAAUUAUCUGGGGCUGUUUGUUUCUCAGCUCUGUAUCUACCUCAGUGUUCUUUUGAUACUGGUGGGUUUCGGGGUUCUGUGAUUACCUCUGAACGGCUUCCAUGUGCUUGUGUCUCAGAAGGAUGGAUUGGAUGGAGACAUGGGGAUGGUUGGUAGCAAUUAAUGGAGAGCAUUCAUUGGGGGAAGAAUACACUUCCAUGGGAGGAAGUAGGCCAGCGCUGAGGGCAAGUGUGCAUGCUUAAGGGCAACCACUGUGCCAAGGGUGGGGAUUUUUAUGUUGCACAGUGCGGCUUUUGGCUCAUUUGCAUGGCACAGGAUUUCUCACAAAUGCAGUUACCGGCUCUGCAUACUCCAUGCAUUUAAAAUUAGCAUUUUAAAUCUCCACCCAGGGGGUGUGUGUUUUAGUUUUAUAAUGAGCUGCAGAUCACCUUCACACAGUCUGGGAUGCCCUCUGUGCUCCAGCCAGUUCUAGUUGUUUUGGGCGCAGUGUGUUGUGUUGGAAGAGGGAGGGUCCCAGCCCUCCUCUUGCCUGAUGGAUCUCUUUCCCGUGCCGACUGGGCAGCUUUUAUGGCUCUCACUCUCUGACCUAUUCUCUCCCAUUGUUUUGACUACCAGGUGAAGGCGUUGUAAGGCACUAACCUAGCAGACCACUAGCUUCCACAAACACAGAAGCUAGGAGCAUCAUCAUUUAGAACCUGUAGCCGAGCUUUCCCAGUUUGCUGUGACCUGCUCACCAAUGUGUUCGGUGGAAUGCAUUGAUUUAGUCUUUUGUUCUGUGACUGCAGAGUCGAUGUAGUCACCUCCGUGGUGGAGUGUGUCAUUGGGGGCAGCUUGAAUCUGUGUUUCUGGGCCAUGGUCACUCACACUGGGCUCCGAAUAAACUAUUACUCCCUUUGGAGUGAGAGCUGUUUUGCGAUGACACACCAUGUUCAAGCAUCACGUGGUGUACACAGUGGAUGUGUCAGCUAGCAGUCGGUAUAGGAGGUGUGUUCACACCAGCAUCGGCAGAAACGUGAGUGGUAGGCUGUGUUACAUGCUGUGACAACUUCUGAGUGAGAAUUCUUCAGCUCCAUUGUCCUUGACUGAAACACCUGGCUAAUUAAAAAAUAUAUAUAUUUAUUUUAGUUUUAUGUAUAAGCAUCCUUGCUGGCAUAUAUGAUUGUGUGCAAAACCCAGGAAAUCCAGAAGAGGGCAUUGGAUCCCCUGGAACUGGAGUUACAGACAGUUGUGAGGCACAGCAUGGGUGCUGGAAAUGGAACCUGGGACCUCAGCCAGUGCUCUUAAUAGCUGAGCCAUCUCUCCAGCCCCACCUGGUUAAUAUUUUAUGCUACAUAGGGCACAAAUAUUACCAUUACUAUUUUGGCCACAAGGAUCUUAGCAUGAAUCUAAGGGAUGUUUUAAAUGGAACCAAAUGUUAAAAUUGUCACCAGUUUAAUGUGAAAUGAUGGGCAUGAGGAUGUUUGUAUGGUCUGUUGAGAAGAUAAGUCUUGUAUCUUUUAUAAUGGUGUAUUGCUGCAAUACACCCACAUUAGUGGGUGGAAAUUAGCUACCAGCAACAUGAAAACUGGAAUUCCUUUAGUCCUCUUAUUCCCUCAGACUGAAGCAGGACAUUUGGCCUGGAACUCUACUUCCAUCUUUUUCAGAGUUCCCAGGGGUGCCUCUCAGUGUUCUAAUGUACAAGGCAUGCCUAUUUUCCAUGGUGGCUAUUGUAGGGUGUGUGUGUGUGUGUGUGUGUGUGUGUGUGUGUGUGUGUGUGUGUGUGUAACAUGUUUUUCUUUGCUAUGUUAGUUGUGAGAGGGCAGACCCAAGGCAGGCUGCCUUGGCUUCCAUUCCUACACCAGACUUUCAAUUUUUCUUCACAAUGAUGUCUCCUUCUAUCAGACUCAGCGUUACUCAUCCUCUGGGCUCUAGGAACCCCAGAAAGGAUAGUCCAUGUCUUUGUACUUAGAAGCUUCUCCUGCACAACGGAGGCUUUUCUAAUGGGUCAAGCUCAUGCAAGCUUGCAUCAGAUCUUAGGACAUGUUUUUCUUGGAGCCAUAAACCCUUUGAAAGAUUACUAACCCUUUCUCAGAGAACUGUGUACAAUGGGGGCAUUUCACAGAGAAGCUAUGGGGUUAUGGCCUACCAGGAAGAAUCUGGCCUUUGGAGAAAUUUUCUCUCUUGAACUUUCUAGCUCCAGCUGUGGAUUUCGGUUUAGCCCAACUCACAAGCUGCCAGACACACCCAGCCAUAGACAAGUCCCUUGUGGGUGUGGCUCAGGCCAAGCAGACGCCCUUAGAACAUGCACUGUUUAUUUCCCAUAUUCCAGAAUAUGCACAAGCGGGAAAGGCAAGAGUGUCUACUUAAGCCAUCCCCCAAGGUCUGCAUAUGAAGGCCUCAUUCCAAAUCCAGCUAGCCAGGAUUCCUGCAGCUGUGAAGGGAGAAUCCCAGACAGUGUCUCUUGAAAAGACUUAUAGGAGUCCCGUGUGCUUUAAAAGUCACACGUACAGGCUGGAUAUGGUGAUACAUACUUGCAAUCCCAGCACUCAGGAGGCUGAGGCAGGAGGAUCAUGGGUUUGGUGCUAGCCUGGGCCCCACACUAAGUCUCAUCGCACAAAGCAGCAGACGAGAUCACACAUACCCUUAUACAUUUCUGAUUGUUGCUUUCUUGGUCACAGUCUAAGUUUUAUCUAGCUUCCUCUGCCCUGUGCAACAUCCUUCAGCUCCUAGAUACUGUUUGUAUUCAUCUCUGAAGGCAGCUGUAACUAAUUAACCCAAAUAUGGUGGCUUGAAAUAACAAAAUUUCAUUCUCCCACAGUUCUGGAGGGCAGAUGUUUGUCAGGAGAGCCAUGUUCCUCCUGAGAGCUCUCAAGGGGGAUAUUUUCUAGUUUUGUCCGACUUCUGAUAGUUCUGGAGGUUCCACGCCAAUGGCUACAUAACUCCACUCUCAGACUCCAACUUGACAUAGUUCUUUUCUCUUCCUGUAUGCCCCUCCUGUGUGUACCAUUGAAUUUAGUUAGGGUCUACCCAGCUAAUCCAGUUCAAUCUUCUUUGUUUACUUCCCCGGAUUUGGAGUCGCCUAGGAGACACACCCCGGGGUGGGGGCAUAUUUGAGAAUGUUUCCAGGGAGGCUGAACUGAGGGAAAACAAACCCUCAAAUGUGGGUGGCGUCAUUCCAUGGGCUGGGGUUAAGGGCUAGCCAGGAAGAGGAAAUGGGGAAAGUGAGUUGGGCACCAGCCUUCUCUCUCUGCUCCCUGAUUGCAGGGAUAAUGUGGCCUGCUGCCUCCUGCUCCCACUGCUACAGCCGGAACUGUUCUCGCUGCCAUGAUGGGUCACCCCUCAAACUAAUGUAAAGCUCUCGGCUACUGCUCCAGCACCAUGCCUGUCUGUCUGCUUCCUGCCAUGAAGAUAAUGGACUAACCCUCUGAAACAGGUUAAAAGCAUCAGUGAGAACAAGCUUGACUCCGUGGGCAGGAACUUUGAAAAACAGCCUGUCCCUGGUGUGUGUGACAUGCACGAUGGGUCUGAAAUUCUUGCUCGGAGACAUAUGAAGUGGCUAUGGUGAGAGGAAAUUAUAUCCUUCUUUCUGUUUCUGCUCAGCGCUUUCCCCUGGGUAAGUGGACCCUUUGAAGUAGCCCUUUCCUUACCUCAGAUUCUGACAUGAGUAACUGAUCAUCUUUCAGUCUACCCAAGAUAAGGAGCCGGUCUCAAAACUGUGUAACUCUCUUAAGUAAACAAGAGCCAACCCCCCGGGGCACUUCUCCAAGGAGGGAGAGAAUUUCCCACAUGUGUUACACAUUUUAUUCUUCCCUAAAUGCUUUGCUCUGCAUCAUUGUGUUUAAAUUGGAUAAUGUCUACAUGAAAGGGAUGUGUCAAUUGUAUCAGUAACAAAAAAGGUAAGAUUUUGUAACAAUUAUGGAUUUGAUUUUUCUAUACAGACAUCUGAGGCUCAGCAAGAGAAUUUUAACUGCCUUCAAUUGCCCACUGAAGGGAAAUGGAGCUCCGACUGUGGUCUGUUUUCUAAUUCGGUUUGUGUUUUCUAUUCUGUAACAGAUGCCACCCACCUGGGGAUGUCAAAAGAGAAAAUCCAGGGUGCUGGACAGAUGGCUCAGUGGCGGAGACCACUGGCUGCUCUUGUAGACAACCAAGGUUUCCUUCCCAGAACUCAUAUGGGUGCUCAAAACCAUCUGUGAUUCCAGCUCCAGGGCAUCUGGCGCCCUCUUCUGGCCUCUAUAGAUACUGCAAAUACAUGAUGCACAUACAUAUGCUUAGGCAAACACUUGUAAACAUAAAAUAAAAAUAAGGAAACCCAA